RNAcentral lists this ribosomal RNA (312 nucleotides) under Triticum aestivum (bread wheat). RNAcentral describes it as "partial small subunit ribosomal RNA". The record is from RNAcentral. Lineage: Eukaryota; Viridiplantae; Streptophyta; Magnoliopsida; Poales; Poaceae.
AUGGAAGAGUUCAAUGGAAGUGUGAUCAAGAGGAGUAGUACAUUUCCUGAGCUGCGGACCGUGUCUUGGAUGAUCUUCCUCUGUCCUACACCAAUUAUUCGGUUCCACUUGCUUCCCUCGAGGCUGAAGAACUCCAACAGGUGUGAGUCCAACGAUGCUAAUACAACAUGGACUCCACCACCAGAGGGCUCAGCAAUGCUCAUUGUUGACGCAACAAUCUUCAGUCAAUCCAGGCGCAUGGGUGCUGGAUACAUCCUGCGUGACCAUGGAGCUAUUCUAGAGCACACAACGCAGUAUUGUCAUCGUGUCUGA